CCUUCGGGGUCCGCAUUGUAAUUUGCAGAGGAUGUUUCGGGAGUGGCCCCCAUCUAAGUGUCCUGGAACGGACCGUCAUAGAGGGUGAGAAUCCCGUAUGGGAUGGGGUGCCCACGCCCGUGUGAAACUCCUUCGACGAGUCGAGUUGUUUGGGAAUGCAGCUCUAAAUGGGUGGUAAAUUUCAUCUAAAGCUAAAUAUUGGCCGGAGACCGAUAGCGCACAAGUAGAGUGAUCGAAAGAUGAAAAGCACUUUGAAAAGAGAGUUAAAAAGCACGUGAAAUUGUUGAAAGGGAAGCGUUUGCGAUCAGACUCGCCGACGGGGUUCAGCCUGCCUUCGGGCAGGUGUACUUCCCCGCCGGCGGGCCAGCGUCGGUUUGGGCGGCCGGUCAAAGGCCCUGGGAAUGUAACGCCUCUCGGGGCGUCUUAUAGCCCAGGGUGUCAUGCGGCCUGCCCGGACCGAGGAACGCGCUUCGGCUCGGACGCUGGCAUAAUGGUCGUAAACGACCCGUCUUGAAACACGGACCAAGGAGUCUAACAUCUAUGCGAGUGUUCGGGUGUCAAACCCGUGCGCGAAGUGAAAGCGAACGGAGGUGGGAACCCUUUGGGUGCACCAUCGACCGAUCCUGAUGUCUUCGGAUGGAUUUGAGUAAGAGCAUAGCUGUUGGGACCCGAAAGAUGGUGAACUAUGCCUGAAUAGGGCGAAGCCAGAGGAAACUCUGGUGGAGGCUCGCAGCGGUUCUGACGUGCAAAUCGAUCGUCAAAUUUGGGUAUAG
This 773-nucleotide ribosomal RNA is filed under the name Penicillium vanoranjei. RNAcentral's name for it is "LSU rRNA". It matches the Rfam family "Eukaryotic large subunit ribosomal RNA", at positions 128 to 920 of the family's 3401-position model. The record is from RNAcentral. Lineage: Eukaryota; Fungi; Ascomycota; Eurotiomycetes; Eurotiales; Aspergillaceae.